Long non-coding RNA from Rhododendron vialii, 877 nucleotides. RefSeq lists it as uncharacterized. The record is from RefSeq and is a predicted model, not a curated record. Lineage: Eukaryota; Viridiplantae; Streptophyta; Magnoliopsida; Ericales; Ericaceae. The transcript has 2 exons.
GCUCGGGUAUCGAGUUUGCGCACCAAUUUUUGAUUUGGAAACUAGACUCGUAUGCCUUUUGGAAUAUGUAGGGUUUGUGGCUUGUUUUGUUAUAGGUUAAAUCAGUUUUUGGUUUGAAGUUGGUGGACGUGCAAAAUCUGUAAUCUUGGACAGUUGUGUGAGUAACUUCGGACAAGCAUAACUUUGUCGUCCGGACUCUAUGUUGGGCAAACUUUAUAUCAAAAUUCAUGUACCGGAAGUGUACUUUCUAACGGUGGUGGUCUCAUACACUAGUUCUAAACCUAUUAAAUGUUAUGAUCAUUCUAAGACAGAUUGGUCGUGGAAUAUGUUGUCUUUUUGGAGAAUUGGGUAGUGUUUGAGUUUCACACUCGUCGUGAGACACUUUUAGGUAUGGACUUGGACAUAUUUGUAUCCGUUAGACAUUGUUUAGCUUCUUAUUAGCUUUAUAACCUUGUGCCAAGUAUUCGUUGAAUUAGUAACUAAUAUGAGUUAACUUGUGGCUAGGUAAAGAGCUGGUCAUUCGGGAGGUGCCGAAACCUUAGUUUGGUAUACUUCGGUCGACACAAAGGUCACAGGUGGUCGUAGAGUUGGUCCACUACCGGUCGGCAUUUUGGGGACACUUGGAUUAGUAUCGAGUGUUGGUGUUUUUGGGUCGAGUUGGUUGUAAUGGGUCAAACUCUAAUUUUUGCUAAACUCAUUAUGUGAUUAAGGUUGUCAAGUACUUUAUGAUUUCAAGUUUUUAAUUAUGUGGGGAACUCUGUUAAUGUUUAAUUACUUAUGUUGGGAUAAGAGGUAGCAACUUAUGUAUUAUGUAGGUUCGUAAAAUUGUUGACACAUUAUUUAUGUUAAAGUUAAGUCUUCCGCUGGGGUUUUACUC